This 940-nucleotide long non-coding RNA is filed under the name Brassica napus (rape). RNAcentral describes it as "long non-coding RNA (BNAP_LNC022868)". Lineage: Eukaryota; Viridiplantae; Streptophyta; Magnoliopsida; Brassicales; Brassicaceae. The record is from RNAcentral.
UUUUUAACUUCUUAUUCUUGCAUGGUUUGGUCAUUUAGAGCAUCAUUUUGGCACAUUUAGGUUGCAUAUCAUUGCAUUUGUACAUAUCAGGUGUUGGAGAGCACCAUGGAUGAGUUAGAGGACCAUUGGAGGGAUUUUGAGUCCAAAGAAUGAAGAUGAGUCGUUGAAGGUUCCUAGCGGCCAGGCGUAGCAGCAAAAGAUGGUCGCUACAGAAGAUAGAGCUGAGGCGCCUAAGUACCGUAGCGGGAGUGUGUAGCGGGUUAGAGAGACCGCUAGAGUUGAAGCGCCUUCUAUAGCGGUCUGCCGUAGCGGCAUCAUAAGGUCGCUAUGCGUUCAGGACUUCAAGCGCCUUCUACAGCGGCCAGCCAUAGCGACUUCAUGAGGUCGCUAUGAGUUCAAGAAUGCGGAAAAAAAUCGUCUAAGUAUCCUAGCGGCCACACGUAGCGGGCAAGUCAUGUCGCUACAGGCGUAGCGACCUCUGGUAGCGACCUUUUAUGGUCACUACGGAGAAAAAUAUCUAUGUUUUUAUGGGUCAACCCAGGCUUGUUGGGUUAACCCAGCUCGAGUUUUAGUCUUCUAUAACUACUUUUCAGACAAAAAUUUGGGAUCUAUCUAGUUUUUUAUGAAGAACACAAGAACUCUUUAGAGAGAAAACUUGAAUCUUUAGUUUCUUUUCUUCUUAUUCUCUUGAAUUUGCUUGACUAUCUUGAUUACUAAUCAUGAUUAACACCAAAUCCUCUUUGAUUCUUGGGUUUAUCAUGAAGAGUAGUGAGUAGUUUCCUUAAGAAUUUAUGGGUUAGGGAGAUUAGAGUAACUUAGUGAAGAUCUUGGUGUUAUUGUAUUAGAUCCUUGUAUAAACUUGCUUGUUGAGUAUUUUUAAUGCUUGUUUAGUCUUGAUCACUCUAAACCUGAUUUCUAAACACUUAUCAUCAGACAUGAU